Molecule: unclassified non-coding RNA, 285 nt
Filed under: Hevea brasiliensis (rubber tree)
Lineage: Eukaryota; Viridiplantae; Streptophyta; Magnoliopsida; Malpighiales; Euphorbiaceae
Source: RNAcentral
ACAAUUCUGACCACUUGGAACUUUCGGAUUUACGAACACGUGAGAGUAAAAAGUGGGAUGUUUUUUGAGGGUACUUAUGACAAUUCAAAGGUUUAAUGGUUCUUAAUUGUCGUGAGCUGUGGUUCACGAGGUUAGACUUGUACUCAAUAAAUGUCCAGCAAAAUUUAACCUUUUUCUGGCUGUAAAUUGACAAGGGCACUCACCCCCCACUUGAAAAGACAACAUCAUCCUAAGGCUUAUAAAAAAUCUCCACUGUGCCUCAACAGUUCAACACCUUAUUUCAGC